UACGUAGGGGGCAAGCGUUGUCCGGAUUUAUUGGGCGUAAAGAGCGUGUAGGCGGCCAUGUAGGUCCGUUGUGAAAACUCGAGGCUCAACCUCGAGACGCCGAUGGAAACCAUGUGGCUAGAGUCCGGAAGAGGAGAGUGGAAUUCCUGGUGUAGCGGUGAAAUGCGCAGAUAUCAGGAGGAACACCGAUGGCGAAGGCAGCUCGCUGGGACGGUACUGACGCUGAGACGCGAAAGCGUGGGGAGCAAACAGG
Molecule: ribosomal RNA, 253 nt
Filed under: uncultured bacterium
Lineage: Bacteria
Description: partial 16S ribosomal RNA
Rfam family: Bacterial small subunit ribosomal RNA
Source: RNAcentral